Molecule: ribosomal RNA, 2895 nt
Filed under: Clostridioides difficile
Lineage: Bacteria; Bacillati; Bacillota; Clostridia; Peptostreptococcales; Peptostreptococcaceae
Description: bacterial LSU rRNA
Rfam family: Bacterial large subunit ribosomal RNA
Source: RNAcentral
UCAAGUUAUUAAGGGUGCAGGGCGGAUGCCUUGGCACUAGGAGCCGAUGAAGGACGUGAUAAGCUGCGAUAAGCUUCGGGGAGUUGCACGUAAACUUUGAUCCGAAGAUUUCCGAAUGAGGAAACUCACUUAGAGUAAUGUCUAAGUAUCAUUAAGUGAAUACAUAGCUUAAUGAGGGGAACUCAGGGAACUGAAACAUCUAAGUACCUGAAGGAAGAGAAAGAAAUUCGAUUCCGUAAGUAGCGGCGAGCGAACGCGGAUUAGCCCAAACCAAUAAAGUUUUCUUUAUUGGGGUUGCGGACAUAUCAUAACGAAGAGGUAUCGUAAUUGAAGAGGUUUGGAAAGACCCACCACAGAAGGUAAUAGUCCUGUAUGUUAAACGAGAAGACUUUAGAUAUGAUCCAGAGUACCACGGGACACGUGAAACCCUGUGGGAAGCAGGAGGGACCACCCUCCAAGGCUAAAUACUACCUAGUGACCGAUAGCGUAUAGUACCGUGAGGGAAAGGUGAAAAGAACCCCGGAGGGGAGUGAAAUAGAACCUGAAACCCUGCACUUACAAGCUGUGGAAGCACAUUUCUUGUGUGACCGCGUACUUUUUGUAGAACGGGCCAACGAGUUACGUUAAGUAGCAAGGUUAAGCACUUAAGGUGCGGAGCCGUAGCGAAAGCGAGUUUUAACUGAGCGUUCAGUUACUUGACGUAGACCCGAAACCGGGCGACCUACCCAUGAGCAGGAUGAAGCGAAAGUAAAAUUUCGUGGAGGUCCGAACCCACGAGCGUUGAAAAGCUCGGGGAUGACUUGUGGGUAGCGGUGAAAUUCCAAUCGAGCCCGGAGAUAGCUGGUUCUCCCCGAAAUAGCUUUAGGGCUAGCCUCAAGGUGAGAGAUACGGAGGUAGAGCACUGAAUGUCCUAGGGGGUAUUGCACCUACCGAAGACUAUCAAACUCCGAAUGCCGUCAUCUUAUACUUGGGAGUCAGACUGUGGGUGAUAAGAUUCAUAGUCGAAAGGGCAACAGCCCAGAUCGUCAGCUAAGGUCCCUAAAUGUAAGUUAAGUGGUAAAGGAUGUGGGAUUGCACAGACAACCAGGAUGUUGGCUUAGAAGCAGCCACUCAUUCAAAGAGUGCGUAAUAGCUCACUGGUCGAGUGAUCCUGCGCCGAAGAUUUCCGGGGCUAAAACUUACUACCGAAGCUACGGCAUCAGUAAUGAUGGGUAGGGGAGCUUCCCAUACGGGUUGAAGCAUGACCGUAAGGACAUGUGGACAGUAUGGGAGUGAGAAUGUUGGCAUGAGUAGCGAGAUGUGGGUGAGAAUCCCACAGGCCGUAAACCCAAGGUUUCCAGGGGAAGGUUCGUCCGCCCUGGGUUAGUCGGGACCUAAGCUGAGGCCGAAAGGCGUAGGUGAUGGACAACAGGUUGAUAUUCCUGUACUACCGAUAACCGUUUGAGAGAUGGGAUGACACAGUAGGAUAAGCUAAGCACACUGUUGGUUAUGUGUGCCCAAGCAUUGAGGCAGUCAAAGUAGGUAAAUCCGCUUUGAUAAUGCUGGGAUGUGAUGGGGAGCGAAAUUUAGUAGCGAAGUAGCUGAUUUCACACUGUCAAGAAAAGUCUCUAUCGAGGUUAAAGGUACCCGUACCGCAAACCGACACAGGUGGGUGAGGAGAGUAUCCUAAGGCCAGCGAGAGAACUGUUGUUAAGGAACUCGGCAAAAUGACCCCGUAACUUAGGGAUAAGGGGUGCCACCAUCAGGUGGCCGCAGAGAAUAGGCCCAAGCGACUGUUUACCAAAAACAUAGGUUUCUGCUAAGUCGCAAGACGAUGUAUAGGAGCUGACGCCUGCCCGGUGCUGGAAGGUUAAGGGGAUCUGUUAGAGCAAUCGAAGCAGUGAACUUAAGCCCCAGUAAACGGCGGCCGUAACUAUAACGGUCCUAAGGUAGCGAAAUUCCUUGUCGGGUAAGUUCCGACCCGCACGAAAGGCGUAACGAUUUGGGCACUGUCUCAACAACAGACUCGGUGAAAUUGUAAUUCCGGUGAAGAUGCCGGAUACCUGCGACAGGACGGAAAGACCCCAUGGAGCUUUACUGUAGCUUGACAUUGGGUCUUGGUACUACAUGUACAGGAUAGGUGGGAGGCUUUGAAACCAGGACGCCAGUUUUGGCGGAGCCAUCCUUGGGAUACCACCCUUGUAGUACUGGGACUCUAACCAUAGGCCAUGAAUCUGGUCUUGGGACACUGUCAGGUGGGCAGUUUGACUGGGGCGGUCGCCUCCCAAAAGGUAACGGAGGCGCUCAAAGGUUCUCUCAGUACGGUCGGAAAUCGUACGUAGAGUGUAAAGGCAAAAGAGAGCUUGAUUGCAAGACAUACAGGUCGAGCAAGGAUGAAAAUCGGACUUAGUGAUCCGGUGGUUCUGCGUGGAAGGGCCAUCGCUCAACGGAUAAAAGCUACCCUGGGGAUAACAGGCUUAUCUCCCCCAAGAGUCCACAUCGACGGGGAGGUUUGGCACCUCGAUGUCGGCUCAUCACAUCCUGGGGCUGUAGUAGGUCCCAAGGGUUGGGCUGUUCGCCCAUUAAAGUGGUACGCGAGCUGGGUUCAGAACGUCGUGAGACAGUUCGGUCCCUAUCCGUCGCAGGCGUAGGAAAUUUGAGAAGACCUGUCCUUAGUACGAGAGGACCGGGAUGGACGUACCUCUGGUGUACCAGUUGUCCUGCCAAGGGCAUGGCUGGGUAGCUAUGUGCGGAAUGGAUAAGCGCUGAAAGCAUCUAAGCGCGAAGCCAACUUCAAGAUAAGAUUUCCCACCGCAAGGGUAAGACCCCAGAAAGACUAUCUGGUUGAUAGGUCGAAGGUGUAAGUGCAGCAAUGUAUUUAGCUUAUCGAUACUAAUAGGUCGAGGACUUGACCAA